Molecule: transfer RNA, 91 nt
Filed under: Clostridium sp. JN-9
Lineage: Bacteria; Bacillati; Bacillota; Clostridia; Eubacteriales; Clostridiaceae
Description: tRNA-Ser
Rfam family: tRNA
About the family: Transfer RNA (tRNA) molecules are approximately 80 nucleotides in length. Their secondary structure includes four short double-helical elements and three loops (D, anti-codon, and T loops).
Source: RNAcentral
GGAGAAAUACUCAAGUGGCUGAAGAGGCGCCCCUGCUAAGGGCGUAGGUCGGGUUACCGGCGCGAGAGUUCAAAUCUCUCUUUCUCCGCCA